GUAGGGGGCAAGCGUUGUCCGGAUUUAUUGGGCGUAAAGAGCGUGUAGGCGGCUAGGUAGGUCCGUUGUGAAAACUCGAGGCUCAACCUCGAGACGCCGAUGGAAACCAUCUAGCUAGAGUCCGGAAGAGGAGAGUGGAAUUCCUGGUGUAGCGGUGAAAUGCGCAGAUAUCAGGAAGAACACCCGUGGCUAAGGCGGCUCUCUAGUACGGUACUGACGCUGAGACGCGAAAGCGUGGGGAGCGAACAGGAUUAGAUACCCUGGUAGUCCACGCCGUAAACGAUGGGUGCUAGGUGUGGGGGGUGUCGACUCCUUCCGUGCCGAAGCUAACGCAUUAAGCACCCCGCCUGGGGAGUACGGCCGCAAGGCUA
RNAcentral lists this ribosomal RNA (371 nucleotides) under uncultured bacterium. RNAcentral's name for it is "bacterial SSU rRNA". It matches the Rfam family "Bacterial small subunit ribosomal RNA", at positions 527 to 896 of the family's 1533-position model. The record is from RNAcentral.